Oreochromis aureus is the source of this 2712-nucleotide long non-coding RNA. RefSeq lists it as uncharacterized. The record is from RefSeq and is a predicted model, not a curated record. The transcript is spliced from 5 exons. NCBI's taxonomy places the organism in Eukaryota, Metazoa, Chordata, Actinopteri, Cichliformes, Cichlidae.
CGCUGAGUCCAUAUUCUGGCUGGAUCCUUAUGUUACGGUUCAGUGUAGGGGACUCAAACGCAGGACUCCUGAAUCUGCUGAACACAAGGGUUUAUUUACAGAGGUCACCAAUGUGUAUAUACAGAGAGUGCGGGGUAGUGCUAUGUACAGAAAUGUGAAGGACGGGCUCCAGGGAAAUCCAAGGGGGGGAACAUUCGUUCUCCAACUCUCCACAUUCACAACGGCUGUCCUCUUCUUUCACACUUGACGCACAGAUUCACACGAGAGGGGGGGUCCAGGGGGUCUGUAGACAGGAGACAGGGGUGAGACCGAUAUUCACAGAAAACACUUGACUUAUCUUGCUCUGAAGUUCGACUUUCACUAACGCGUGGCAGACAACGAUCCAGCAACGACCAGCAGUCCUCUCCUGGCUUAAAUGCCAUUCCCCUUGAUGGACGUCAGGUGUGAUGAUCUCCGUGGGCGUGGGCCGAGGGCGUGAACCCGCAAUGAGUUCCGCCCCGGCGACAGAGAGGAGGAGAGAGAGAGAGAGCACGAGAGAGAGAGAGAAAGACAAGAGGGGUCGCUCAGCGUCUCGCCGAUCCCCCAGGCCGUGACACAUCAACAAGAACCAACACAGUGAAUCUGGUGAAAAGGAGAAACAAAAAGAGACACACCACAAACGAGUUUCCCUGACUAACAUGAGAGGAGCAGUAACUGCAUAUUGAGGAAGAAACAGAAGCAUCCAAAGACAACUGAGAGUCUUCAGUGCACCGUGAACAGCAGUCACCUCAGAGCAACAGAGUCCUCGUGGCUGUCUGGGUUCUCUCCAGGAGCUUGGAGAUAAGAUACCAUAACUUAAAAAAAUGUUUAGAAUAAGUGUGAGCCUCUUUUACAACUUUACUUACAUCCUUCAAAUGUAAGAGCUGCUGGCACGUCUGGUGAGGGUUUGCCCACACCUAAUCUAAACCGAGCUUUAGUCCCUCUCGUACUUUGUUGAGUAUUGGCUUCAGCUGCACCAGUGCCUGCAAUGUGAGGUCAUUAAUAGACAGGGAGGAAAUAAUAGUUGAAUUAAUUCUGAAUGAAGACGUCAUGCCAAAUAUUCUUUGAUAGCCAUUACAGUCAUGAAUACACAGACUUUAUGAUUGCUUUUUUUCUUGUCAACAUGUAUUGUUCCCAAAUAACCACGGGCCACAACUGGAUCAGAUAGUUCCAUCAUUUCUCUUCAUCUGCAUUUUCGAUCUGGAAGCAGAAACAACAAUAACGAGGAGAAAUGGAAUUUUUAUAUUUAAGAACGAGGACUGUGUGGAGGAGAGCCGAGUCAGGUGACAGGUUGUUCACCUGAUCAACAAGCUGGAGUCAGAACCUGUGAUUUAUCCUCCCUGACUAUUGAGUUAUGUUUUAUGCUGGUGUUAUUUUCUUGUUUUGAGCCAAACCAGAUUUCUCUAUAGGAACUCUGUGUUAAAGGGUCAAUGCACCAAAUUAUGCUUUGAUAAGAGUUCAUUUCUCAUGCAAGGAAAGACACAAACUUCUCAGAGGGAUUAGUAGUGGGCACAAGUUAAAUGAGCUCAUAUCACUACGUUGGCUUUAUCAGCCCUGCACAGAACAGAUCGGUCUCAGACUUUUAGAUUCUCUUAAAUAAGUAGAAUCUGAAACUGAAGGUUUUAGAUUAAAUCUGAUUCCUAAAUCAAGAAGUAAAGCUUAAAGAAUAACCUAAGUUUGUAAUUUGGAACAAAGUUGUGUUAACUAAAACUAUCUUGAACUAAGGAAGGUUAAGUGUGACCUUCUUAGCUGCAAACCUAGAACUGGUCUAGUAGCUUUUAUAUCUGUCUUACUGUGACAUAAGUGCUGCAAAAGGGGUUUAUUUCUCUCUCUCUCUCUCUCAGUCCCUCUCUCUAAUUUUACCGUAUUUUCUCUAUAUAUGAUGUAGGUUUGGAUUUUCCCUGCUAAAUUGUGAUGGUCUGGCAGUCUCCAUCGGUCGACCUGCCUGUAUCGUGCCAGUUUAUGGGCGUCAUCAGGCCGGAAGGUGUUUCCCGUGUUGAAGCCGCCACACCUGUCUUCCAUCUAGAUUGGCCACUACUUAACUGAGCUUCAGUCAACGCUGGAUCGUUGAGUUACCGAGAACUUGGAGAGGAGUGUGUCAGAGAAGCGAAGGAUUUGUAAAUGUCGAGUGUUGGAGUUGUUUGCCUGUCACACCUGGACCACGAGCACAGUCCUGCAGGAUGGGAAAGUCCUGCAUUGGGUCCCGUUCUCACCACGCACCUUAACAUUGUCUGAGCCUGAGCCUUUUCAAGGUUCUGUUUUGCCAACUGACCCGCUACAUACAGUCUGUGCCAAAAACCAUUAACGUAAUCUAUCAAGUUCACUGGUGGCUCACCUGAUAACCACUUAUCGCACAGCACUGUCAAGGGUCCCUGAACUUUGUGGCCAAAGACCAAAUCAUUUGGGCUAAACCCAGUACUCUCCUGGCACACUUCUCACGCUGCCAACAGAAGCCACGGCAAACCUUCCUCCCAGUCACUCUUCAUUUCUGUGCAACAGGCACGUAACAAGGACUUCAGCGUUUGAUGGACGCGCUCUAAAGCACCUUGGCUCUGUGGAUGAUAAGGAGAGGCUUUGUUAUGUGUGAUGUUCAACAGCUUGAGAACUUGUGGAAAUAGAUUUGACGAAAAGUUUGAUCCCUGGUCACUCUGAAUAAUCUUCGGUAUGCCAAAUAAUAAACACUUUGAUUGAGAA